RNAcentral lists this ribosomal RNA (267 nucleotides) under uncultured bacterium. RNAcentral describes it as "partial 16S ribosomal RNA". It matches the Rfam family "Bacterial small subunit ribosomal RNA", at positions 1234 to 1500 of the family's 1533-position model. The record is from RNAcentral.
CGUAAACAAAGGGAAGCGAGACGGUGACGUUAAGCAAAUCCCAGAAAUAACGUCCCAGUUCGGAUUGUAGUCUGCAACCCGACUACAUGAAGCUGGAAUCGCUAGUAAUCGCGAAUCAGAAUGUCGCGGUGAAUACGUUCCCGGGUCUUGUACACACCGCCCGUCACACCAUGGGAGUCGGAAAUGCCCGAAGCCGGUGACCUAACCGCAAGGAAGGAGCCGUCGAAGGUGGAGCCGAUGACUGGGGUGAAGUCGUAACAAGGUACC